RNAcentral lists this ribosomal RNA (229 nucleotides) under uncultured bacterium. Its description in RNAcentral is "partial 16S ribosomal RNA". It matches the Rfam family "Bacterial small subunit ribosomal RNA", at positions 568 to 796 of the family's 1533-position model. The record is from RNAcentral.
UGCGUAGGCGGGCUAGUAAGUCAGUGGUGAAAUCUCUCGGCUCAACCGGGAAACUGCCAUUGAUACUGUUAGUCUUGAGUUCGGUUGAGGUAGGCGGAAUGUGUAAUGUAGCGGUGAAAUGCUUAGAUAUUACACAGAACACCAAUUGCGUAGGCAGCUUACUAGACCGACACUGACGCUGAGGCACGAAAGCGUGGGGAGCGAACAGGAUUAGAUACCCUGGUAGUCC